RNAcentral lists this ribosomal RNA (1555 nucleotides) under Lactiplantibacillus plantarum. RNAcentral describes it as "Lactobacillus plantarum 16S ribosomal RNA". Lineage: Bacteria; Bacillati; Bacillota; Bacilli; Lactobacillales; Lactobacillaceae. The record is from RNAcentral.
AGGUGAUCCAGCCGCAGGUUCUCCUACGGCUACCUUGUUACGACUUCACCCUAAUCAUCUGUCCCACCUUAGGCGGCUGGUUCCUAAAAGGUUACCCCACCGACUUUGGGUGUUACAAACUCUCAUGGUGUGACGGGCGGUGUGUACAAGGCCCGGGAACGUAUUCACCGCGGCAUGCUGAUCCGCGAUUACUAGCGAUUCCGACUUCAUGUAGGCGAGUUGCAGCCUACAAUCCGAACUGAGAAUGGCUUUAAGAGAUUAGCUUACUCUCGCGAGUUCGCAACUCGUUGUACCAUCCAUUGUAGCACGUGUGUAGCCCAGGUCAUAAGGGGCAUGAUGAUUUGACGUCAUCCCCACCUUCCUCCGGUUUGUCACCGGCAGUCUCACCAGAGUGCCCAACUUAAUGCUGGCAACUGAUAAUAAGGGUUGCGCUCGUUGCGGGACUUAACCCAACAUCUCACGACACGAGCUGACGACAACCAUGCACCACCUGUAUCCAUGUCCCCGAAGGGAACGUCUAAUCUCUUAGAUUUGCAUAGUAUGUCAAGACCUGGUAAGGUUCUUCGCGUAGCUUCGAAUUAAACCACAUGCUCCACCGCUUGUGCGGGCCCCCGUCAAUUCCUUUGAGUUUCAGCCUUGCGGCCGUACUCCCCAGGCGGAAUGCUUAAUGCGUUAGCUGCAGCACUGAAGGGCGGAAACCCUCCAACACUUAGCAUUCAUCGUUUACGGUAUGGACUACCAGGGUAUCUAAUCCUGUUUGCUACCCAUACUUUCGAGCCUCAGCGUCAGUUACAGACCAGACAGCCGCCUUCGCCACUGGUGUUCUUCCAUAUAUCUACGCAUUUCACCGCUACACAUGGAGUUCCACUGUCCUCUUCUGCACUCAAGUUUCCCAGUUUCCGAUGCACUUCUUCGGUUGAGCCGAAGGCUUUCACAUCAGACUUAAAAAACCGCCUGCGCUCGCUUUACGCCCAAUAAAUCCGGACAACGCUUGCCACCUACGUAUUACCGCGGCUGCUGGCACGUAGUUAGCCGUGGCUUUCUGGUUAAAUACCGUCAAUACCUGAACAGUUACUCUCAGAUAUGUUCUUCUUUAACAACAGAGUUUUACGAGCCGAAACCCUUCUUCACUCACGCGGCGUUGCUCCAUCAGACUUUCGUCCAUUGUGGAAGAUUCCCUACUGCUGCCUCCCGUAGGAGUUUGGGCCGUGUCUCAGUCCCAAUGUGGCCGAUUACCCUCUCAGGUCGGCUACGUAUCAUUGCCAUGGUGAGCCGUUACCCCACCAUCUAGCUAAUACGCCGCGGGACCAUCCAAAAGUGAUAGCCGAAGCCAUCUUUCAAGCUCGGACCAUGCGGUCCAAGUUGUUAUGCGGUAUUAGCAUCUGUUUCCAGGUGUUAUCCCCCGCUUCUGGGCAGGUUUCCCACGUGUUACUCACCAGUUCGCCACUCACUCAAAUGUAAAUCAUGAUGCAAGCACCAAUCAAUACCAGAGUUCGUUCGACUUGCAUGUAUUAGGCACGCCGCCAGCGUUCGUCCUGAGCCAGGAUCAAACUCU